Molecule: long non-coding RNA, 817 nt
Organism: Caretta caretta (loggerhead turtle)
Lineage: Eukaryota; Metazoa; Chordata; Testudines; Cheloniidae
Source: RefSeq, a predicted model, not a curated record
GUGACUUUGGACAAGGAACUUAAUCUGUAGUUCUCCAGGCAUAAGGAGGGAUGUGCAUUUUGGGGACGAGGAAGAUGAGGAGGAGGAGGAGGUUGAAGAUAGCGCACAGCAAGCAAGCAGAGAAACCAUUUUCCCCGAGAGCCAGGAACUGUUUCUCACCCUGGACCUGCAGCCAGUACCCCCCGAACCCACCCAAGGUGGGCUUCCAAACCCACCAGGCAGAGAAGGGACCUCUGCUGCAAAUGUUUCAACGCUCCCCCUAUCAUCUCCGUCCCAGAGGCUAGUGAAGAUUAGAAGGCGAAAAAAAAUGCACUCGCAAUGAAAUGUUCUGAGCUCAUGCUGUCCUCCCGCACCGAAAGAGCCCAGCAGAAUGCGUGGAGGAAGACAAUGUUAGAGUCCAGGAAAGCACAAUAUGACCGUGAAGACAGGUGGCAGGUUGAAGAUAAUAAGUGGUGGGUUGAAGAUGAUAGGUGGCGUCAGCUUGCUGACAGAAGGCGGGCAUCAAUGCUGAGGCUACUGGAGGAUGAAACUGAUAUGCUCCGGCAUAUGGUUGAGAUGCAGGAAAGGCAGCAUGAGCACAGCCCCCCGCUACAGCCCCCGUGUAACCAACCGCCCUCCUCCCCAAGUUCCAUAGCCUCCUCACCCAAACGCCCAAGAAUGAGGUGAGGGAGCCUUCGGGCACCCAACCACUCCACCCCAGAGGACUGCCCAAGCAACAGAAAGCUAGCAUUCAAUAAGUUUUAAAGUGCAGUGUGGCCUUGUCCUUCCCUCCUCCCUCACCCCUCCCGAGGCUACCUUGGCAGUUAUCCCCCUAGUU